Molecule: non-coding RNA, 32 nt
Filed under: Homo sapiens (human)
Lineage: Eukaryota; Metazoa; Chordata; Mammalia; Primates; Hominidae
Source: RNAcentral
UGCUACGUGGGAACUGUUCAGGACUGUGGGAU